Molecule: ribosomal RNA, 518 nt
Filed under: uncultured bacterium
Lineage: Bacteria
Description: bacterial SSU rRNA
Rfam family: Bacterial small subunit ribosomal RNA
Source: RNAcentral
UAGUCCAUGCCGUAAACGAUGUGUACUAGGUGUCGCGGACAUUGACUGCCGCGGUGCCGUAGCCAACGCGUUAAGUACACCGCCUGGGGAGUACGAUCGCAAGGUUGAAACUCAAAGGAAUUGACGGGGGGCCCGCACAAGCGGUGGAGCAUGUGGUUUAAUUCGAUGAUACGCGAGGAACCUUACCAAGGCUUAAAUGUAGAAUGACCGUUCUGGAAACAGGACUUUCUUCGGACAAUUUACAAGGUGCUGCAUGGUUGUCGUCAGCUCGUGCCGUGAGGUGUCGGGUUAAGUCCCAUAACGAGCGCAACCCCUAUCUUCAGUUGCCAGCGAGUAAAGUCGGGGACUCUGGAGAAACUGCCCGUGCAAACGGAGAGGAAGGUGGGGAUGGAUGUCAAAUCAUCACGGGCCCUUACGUCUUGGGGCUACACACGUGCUACAAUGGUUGGUACAAAGGGGCAGCUACCAGGUGACUGGAUGCUAAUCUCAAAAGCCAAUCUCAGUUCGGAUUGGAGUCU